This 279-nucleotide ribosomal RNA is filed under the name uncultured archaeon. RNAcentral's name for it is "partial 16S rRNA". It matches the Rfam family "Archaeal small subunit ribosomal RNA", at positions 1047 to 1325 of the family's 1478-position model. The record is from RNAcentral.
GAGACCCACGCCAACAGUUGCCAGCUCGUCCUCCGGGAUGGUGGGGACACUGUUGGGACCGCCUCUGCUAAAGAGGAGGAAGGAAUGGGCAACGGUAGGUCAGCAUGCCCCGAAUUAUCCGGGCUACACGCGGGCUACAAUGGUCAGGACAAUGGGUAUCGACACCGAGAGGUGAAGGCAAUCUCUUAAACCUGUCCUUAGUUCGGAUUGUGGGCUGCAACUCGCCCACAUGAAGCUGGAAUCCGUAGUAAUCGCGUCUCAAAAUGGCGCGGUGAAUAU